Molecule: long non-coding RNA, 454 nt
Organism: Pezoporus flaviventris
Lineage: Eukaryota; Metazoa; Chordata; Aves; Psittaciformes; Psittacidae
Exons: 2
Source: RefSeq, a predicted model, not a curated record
GAAGGAAGAUGAUACAGGAGUCAGUCUGCUCAUUCCUUGCAAAGGAGCAAUCUGGUCUAAGGGUCUGAACAUCAAAGAAGUGGUGACUGCUCCAUCCCUCGCAGUGUUCAAGGCUUAUGCAGUGUGUUCACACACACACAAUGAUGGGGUCUUCCAAAGCAGUAAAAGAACUACAGUUAGAUUGGGAACUCUGUAGUGCAAAGGCAGCUUUGGCAAGGCUGGGUGGCAAGAGACAGUCCAGUGGGAAGUUCUUAGCUGCCAACCAAGACAACCUGACAGGCUCUACAGACCUCUUUUAGGAAGCGCUCAUUGGAGGUUUUGAAGUUCUUGAGCCAGGAGGAUGCUUGCAGAGGCUGAUCAAGACGUUCUUUCUUGUAGGAAGACUGCAGCAGCUCCCUGCAGUUCUUCACCCAGAGAUGAGCUGAAAGCAAAGUUAAACAGUUGCUUUUCUUUU